AGAAGAGAAGGCAAAGGGUAUUGUGAAAUCAGAGAAACAGGACACAUCAUCCGAGCUCAAGUACAGUCAAGGCAAUGGUAUUGAGAUGUUCUCAAACGUUCUCGUGGACUGUAUAAUCUCGGAAAUUCCAGACCUGACGGGAAGUGUUGUUCAUAUGGGAGGCAGGCAACUUCGCGUGAUUAAAGGACGAACCAUUCCUUCCCAUAGCAACUAUGCAAAUAAGUAAUUCCAGAACCAACAACCC
Molecule: long non-coding RNA, 244 nt
Organism: Oncorhynchus nerka (sockeye salmon)
Lineage: Eukaryota; Metazoa; Chordata; Actinopteri; Salmoniformes; Salmonidae
Exons: 2
Source: RefSeq, a predicted model, not a curated record